Molecule: ribosomal RNA, 481 nt
Filed under: uncultured bacterium
Lineage: Bacteria
Description: partial 16S ribosomal RNA
Rfam family: Bacterial small subunit ribosomal RNA
Source: RNAcentral
GACGAACGCUGGCGGCGUGCUUAACACAUGCAAGUCGAACGGAAAGGCCCUGCUUGCAGGGUACUCGAGUGGCGAACGGGUGAGUAACACGUGGGUGAUCUGCCCUGCACUUCGGGAUAAGCCUGGGAAACUGGGUCUAAUACCGGAUAGGAGCCAUUUUUAGUGUGAUGGUUGGAAAGUUUUUUCGGUGUAGGAUGAGCUCGCGGCCUAUCAGCUUGUUGGUGGGAUAAUGGCCUACCAAGGCGGCGACGGGUAGCCGGCCUGAGAGGGUGGACGGCCACAUUGGGACUGAGAUACGGCCCAGACUCCUACGGGAGGCAGCAGUGGGGAAUAUUGCACAAUGGGCCCAAGCCUCAUGCAGCGACGCCGCGUGGGGGAUGACGGCCUUCGGGUUGUAAACUCCUUUCGCUAGGGACGAAGCUUUUUGUGACGGUACCUAGAUAAGAAGCACCGGCUAACUACGUGCCAGCCGCCGCCGUAA